Molecule: long non-coding RNA, 646 nt
Organism: Rhinopithecus roxellana (golden snub-nosed monkey)
Lineage: Eukaryota; Metazoa; Chordata; Mammalia; Primates; Cercopithecidae
Exons: 3
Source: RefSeq, a predicted model, not a curated record
GGAGAAGCUUUCAGGAGUGAACCCAGGCCAAGAAAUCUCAAUAUUUCUAUUUUCAACGACCAUAAGUAUCCCUGAAAUUCUGGGGAGUUCUUAGGUCUCCUCCCACCGGUAUCACUCUCCCAUUUAAUCUUCACAGUCUUCAACAUCAGAAGAAUGCACUUCCGAGAGACGCACCUCAGAGACAACCCUUUUAAGUGCUGGAUGAACCUAGACUGUGCUCACUGCAGUGGGUUCCAAAUAGUGCCAAAGGGCUAAGGGUUCUUGUCUAUCUCUUUAUGGUGGCCCCAACCUGCUUUUGAUGCUUCGUUAUCCUGGGAGAAGGAGAGGCAAAGAAAUGGCAAGUGAUGACAACUAAGGUAGCUGCAAGUGAGUGGCUGAGAGCCAGGCGGAGGAGCCUGGAGGAGUAAAUGGAAGCAGAAAGUUGUCAAGCAACUUGCUUUGGGUCUCACUGCCAAUAAUUGCUGGAGUCCAAACUUGAACGUAGCCCUGACCUUUUGUUUGUGGCUACUUGGUGGUAUUCACAUGAAGGCAACAGCAGAGAACUGAGUGUGAAGACCUGAGAAUAGGGCAGGGAGGAAUUGAUGAUUGUUUCCUCCAUUUUCCCCUGAAGACCUCUUCCCCAAAGUAAAGCAAAACAAAACAAAAA